This 73-nucleotide transfer RNA is filed under the name Rattus norvegicus (Norway rat). It matches the Rfam family "tRNA". From Rfam's summary of the family: Transfer RNA (tRNA) molecules are approximately 80 nucleotides in length. Their secondary structure includes four short double-helical elements and three loops (D, anti-codon, and T loops). The record is from Rfam by way of RNAcentral. Lineage: Eukaryota; Metazoa; Chordata; Mammalia; Rodentia; Muridae.
GGGGAGGUGGCUCAGUGGUUAAGAGCACUGACUGCUCUUCCAGAGGUCCUGAGUUCAAAUCUCAGCAACCACA